Molecule: ribosomal RNA, 497 nt
Filed under: uncultured bacterium
Lineage: Bacteria
Description: partial 16S ribosomal RNA
Rfam family: Bacterial small subunit ribosomal RNA
Source: RNAcentral
GAUGAACGCUGGCGGCGUGCCUAAUACAUGCAAGUCGAGCGAACAGACGAGGAGCUUGCUCCUCUGACGUUAGCGGCGGACGAGUGAGUAACACGUGGAUAACCUACCUAUAAGGCUGGGAUAACUUCGGGAAACCGGAGCUAAUACCGGAUAAUAUAUUGAACCGCAUGGUUCAAUAGUGAAAGACGGUUUUGCUGUCACUUAUAGAUGGAUCCGCGCCGCAUUAGCUAGUUGGUAAGGUAACGGCUUACCAAGGCAACGAUGCGUAGCCGACCUGAGAGGGUGAUCGGCCACACUGGAACUGAGACACGGUCCAGACUCCUACGGGAGGCAGCAGUAGGGAAUCUUCCGCAAAGGGCGAAAGCCUGACGGAGCAACGCCGCGUGAGUGAUGAAGGUCUUCGGAUCGUAAAACUCUGUUAUUAGGGAAGAACAAAUGUGUAAGUAACUAUGCACGUCUUGACGGUACCUAAUCAGAAAGCCACGGCUAACUACGUG